GGAAUAUUGGUCAAUGGGCGCGAGCCUGAACCAGCCAAGUAGCGUGCAGGAAGACGGCCCUACGGGUUGUAAACUGCUUUUAUGCGGGGAUAAAGUGGGCUACGCGUAGCCCUUUGCAGUUACCGCAUGAAUAAGGACCGGCUAAUUCCGUGCCAGCAGCCGCGGUAAUACGGAAGGUCCGGGCGUUAUCCGGAUUUAUUGGGUUUAAAGGGAGCGCAGGCUGAUUAUUAAGCGUGACGUGAAAUGUAGCCGCUCAACGGCUGAACUGCGUCGCGAACUGGUAGUCUUGAGUGAGUUCGAUGUUGGCGGAAUUCGUGGUGUAGCGGUGAAAUGCUUAGAUAUCACGAAGAACUCCGAUUGCGAAGGCAGCCAACAAGGCCUUUACUGACGCUAAAGCUCGAAGGUGCGGGUAUCGAACA
RNAcentral lists this ribosomal RNA (419 nucleotides) under uncultured Prevotella sp. RNAcentral's name for it is "bacterial SSU rRNA". It matches the Rfam family "Bacterial small subunit ribosomal RNA", at positions 358 to 774 of the family's 1533-position model. Lineage: Bacteria; Pseudomonadati; Bacteroidota; Bacteroidia; Bacteroidales; Prevotellaceae. The record is from RNAcentral.